UGCUCAGAAUAGUUGUCCUCUCCUGCAC
Molecule: non-coding RNA, 28 nt
Filed under: Mus musculus (house mouse)
Lineage: Eukaryota; Metazoa; Chordata; Mammalia; Rodentia; Muridae
Source: RNAcentral